AUACUUACCUGGACGGGGUCUAUGGCUGAUCAAGAAAGGUCAUGGCCUAAGUUAGUGGCUUCCAUUGCACUUGGGAGGAGCACUGGCUUACCAUCUCCUCAAGUAGGAGAGUGGGCGUCACAAUUUGUGGCAGAGGGGGUACGCGUUCGCGCGGCCCCUA
RNAcentral lists this small nuclear RNA (160 nucleotides) under Dichanthelium oligosanthes. RNAcentral describes it as "U1 spliceosomal RNA". It matches the Rfam family "U1 spliceosomal RNA". Rfam says of the family: U1 is a small nuclear RNA (snRNA) component of the spliceosome (involved in pre-mRNA splicing). Its 5' end forms complementary base pairs with the 5' splice junction, thus defining the 5' donor site of an intron. The record is from Rfam by way of RNAcentral. Lineage: Eukaryota; Viridiplantae; Streptophyta; Magnoliopsida; Poales; Poaceae.